Long non-coding RNA from Megalobrama amblycephala (Wuchang bream), 3651 nucleotides. RefSeq lists it as uncharacterized. Lineage: Eukaryota; Metazoa; Chordata; Actinopteri; Cypriniformes; Xenocyprididae. The transcript has 6 exons. The record is from RefSeq and is a predicted model, not a curated record.
GCCAGCCAACAUGGCUGGGAGCAUUAGGCCAACUGCAACAGUGAGCAAUUAAAGACCUAUUACGAUCAUUUAAGGCAAAAGAGUUGGAAAAUGAUAUAUACAGUCAGUAAUAAAGAUUUACUGGUUUAUCACUUUCGACCAAUAGGUGGCGCUGUGACCAAAUGAAUAUGGUUUGGUCAGAGUGAGGUGACAAUGACACUCACUAUGGAUAUGACUCCCGAAAAAAUAAGUCAACCAGAUCAAAAGUUAUAAGCAUAUGAAAAAAAUACAGUAGGUGGCGCUGGUUUGGACUCUUUCAGGGCCUUGUGCUGAUGACCCAUACAGAGUUUCGAAACAAUACACUAAUGUGUUCACAAAAUACAGCAUUUUAAAACAAGAUUUAAAAUGUCCGAUGGCCAAAAUGGCCGACAUGGGAAAAUGGAUAUCAUUCGACUCUGCAUGAUGCCCCGAAUUGAAAAAGACCAACUUUAUCAUUUUUGGACAAACCUAUUUGAAGCUAUAAGCAAAAAUAAUGGCUAUAUUGGCUUUUUUGUAUCUCCAGACCAGUAGGUGGCGUUAUGGCAAAACUCAGCAUGUAGGCUCUGGUCUUGCUUGGGAUGAUAUGUAUGAGGUUUCGUCUGAAUAUGAUAAAGCAUUGCAGAGAUACAGCCAUAGUGUGUUCUGAUGUGUUUUCUUGGUUUGCCAUUUUGAUCAUUUGUGUCAGGUUUACUUUGUCAUAAUCUCUAUGUAUUAAAACUCCUUAGUUUAUUCAUUUCAUUGUUACUAAUUGUUUUACUUAGUUUAGUUUCAUUUCAUUUUGCUUUGGUUUCUGUUGGUAUUGGCUACACCUUGGCUCCUUGUUAUAUUGGCUCUACUCUAGCCUGUCACUUGGGUCCCACAUCCAGACUCCACCUAACUGUGUCAUCCUCCUGGCUCCAUAAUGGACUUCCGAACCAUUGGCAAUGUAUGCAUCCUCCAAUGUUCAAACAGCUUCCCUAGGGUCCUUCAUCUGUCCAGCUUCUCCAUUAUCAUCCACUCGAAAUGGCAUCUUCUUGGUUUGCACAUCUUCCAACUGCACCUUGACCCUCAGAUCCACCAGCAUCACCUUGCUUCUCUAACAUUUGGGCUUCAUCUUGGUGUCUAGUGUUCCUGACUCCAUCUUCAAUUGUUGUCUCCCUGGCUAUGCAUUACUCUGCACCAAUUAAGGCUCCACAAUGGUUCUUCAUCUGUCUUGCUCCAUCAAGCAGCAUCAGACUGGUGCUCCAGAUCUCUGGCUCUCUCUUGGUCUUCAGCCUUCCUGAUUCCACCUUGGUCUUCCAUUUUCUCAACUUCACCGUGAUUUGCACUGCCUAAGUCUCCAAUUUUGGACUAUGCAGACACUACAUGUCAUCUGUCACCUUCUAGUUCUACCAGAAAGACUCAGGAGCUGACAUCCUGACUUUGCGUUUCCUGCCUGAAGAUGAAGGCAGGGGCAUAGCCGAUCCCUAAAAAAUAUGGACAGCAACCAUCCUAAUAAUGGAGGGCAGGAUGGAGGGGAAGGUUGGCGUUAGCAUCUGCAAACUCAGACAUGUCUUCACCUGGUUUGCACCACCUACUCCACCUUGAGUCUGCAUUUCUAUAGCUCCAUGAAGGACUAUGAGCACACGACAUAUCAUCUGUCAACAUCUACUUUGCAACACUAGACGGUGCCUGCAGACUUUAACUGUUUGGCACCAAUGUAGCCCUUUAUCUCUCAUACUCCACUAUUGUUGUCAUGUGUCCUAAUUCUGCCUUGGUGUUUCUUUUUGUGUUUCUGAACUGGUCUGGACUACUUAAGGAUCUCCUUUGUUUUGCAUUCUCUUUGGCUCCAUUAAGGCAUCUCACUGUUCCAUUUUGCUGUUGCGUAUUUUCUACUGUGUUAUCAUCUGUUUGUUUGUUUGUUUCUUUGUUUGCCUAUUAUGCUCUAUGUCUGGUUUAUUUCAUUGUUAUUACUAUAUAUUUAUUCUCUUUUUUGAUUCCUUAUCAAUGUAUGUAAUUAAUAAUACAUUUUUUUAUAUUUUCUUUAUUAGUCUGUUUUCAUUCAUUGAAACAAUUUCUAAAUACAGAAGUGCUACGUAUUGUUAAUAAAUUCUAUUAAUUGUCAUAAUUUUUGCAAUAAAUGAAAAGCUUUUAUUUAUUUCUUUAUUUAUUUAUUUAUUUAUUAUGAUUAUUAUGAUUAUCAUGUAUUGCUGAUUGCCUGUUUUGCAGCCAGUACUACAGCUAGUCUGAUUUUUCUUACUAUCUAGUACUAUCUAAGCAAGUACAAUAUAUAUUUCUGUCUGUGAUAGGCAGCAUUACACUGUGCAUUUAUCUUAGCCAUCCUCCAUCCCAGUAUCACAUUUCUAGAUAUGCUACAGACGUCUUUUGCUGUUAACCACUGUCACCUCCUUUCUUAUGGAGCAACUAGUUUUGCAUUAGCAGCUGUUUCCUUUCUGUGUUUUCCUGGUGUAGUAGAGCAGAUCUAUGUACUUGCAGAUCUACUCUGCCAAAACCAAACCUAUUUACAUCUGCACAACAACUACUUAAUAAAAUGUUUCCACUUAUUCUGAGAAUUGACAUGCCUUAAGUUUGUUUUUGUUUUUUACCUUUGAAUAUUUUUUACUCUUUUCGUAAUUUAAUAUUCAUUGGACUGAACUGUUGUUAGACUAGUACCUACAAUAACAGGAGUCUUUAAUAAAAUUAAAUAUAUGAUAUAUUUACUGUUUUACCCGUUAUUGAUGUAUGGUAAUAUUUAGUUGAAUGCUUUUCAUAGUUUAUUUUAAUGUUCAUCUUCUACCUUAGGUGUUUGUGGUGCACAUAUUGUAAAGCUGCCUACUCCACUUUAAUCAUUGAUGUAUUUGACAUUAAACAAAAUACAAAGAAACCAAAAAGAAGUGGUUUGAUAUUUUCUGAUUAAAAAUAUAUAUCUUUCAAGCAAUUUUCAGAGUUUCUGUUUUUCUAAAAAUGCACAAACAUUUUUUCUAUAUUAUCCAACUAACCUACGCUACAUAAUAUUAAAACUUUUCUCUGACAAGUACCAGAGCUAGGUUACUAAUGUUUUGUUAAUAGUGGUCCAACUACCAAAGAUGAAUUAAACCCCUAAUGAGUAUAACUUGCAAAUCCUAUCAGCCAUUUUUUAAUUACAGAAUAAAAACUGUUAUAUUAAUGUUACUUACUAGAGGUAGUCACAUCAAAAAAAAUCUUUUAAGCUUAAUGUUUUUUUGUUUUUUUUAGAAUAUAUAAAUAAGUUUCCAUCCAUUUAAGUGCAUAUAAAAUUGCAUAUAUGUAAUUGAUUUGAGUAUAGUGUCCUCUCCAUCAAAUUUAUCAAAUGUUGAUAAAUCAUUACAUGUUUAACCUUUAUAAAACAUAGUAAAACAUAUUUUUUAAUUCGCCAGACAUGAUUGAAUAUAUUGCUAUCCAUUUAAAAUGAAUAGACACUUUUUUGUUUCAACAUAAUAUAUAUUAGACAUGAAAAUGCUCUAUUAAAACAUAAAUAGUUGUAAUUCAAGAAUGCUUUGAAAUAUAGACCAAUGGUUCUUGUUCGAAAGAACACACUUGUCAAAUUAUUUUAGAAGUGAAAUAAAUGAUAAAAGUUAAAUAAAAUAACUUAUAGAAGUCUAAGUUCUGAAAAUGAAAAUGUAAAAAUACAAUUGCUUAUCUUUUAUAAUAUUCUAU